RNAcentral lists this ribosomal RNA (492 nucleotides) under uncultured bacterium. RNAcentral describes it as "partial 16S ribosomal RNA". It matches the Rfam family "Bacterial small subunit ribosomal RNA", at positions 29 to 507 of the family's 1533-position model. The record is from RNAcentral.
AGUGAACGCUGGCGGUAGGCCUAACACAUGCAAGUCGAACGGCAGCACAGUAAGAUCUUGCUCUUACGGGUGGCGAGUGGCGGACGGGUGAGGAAUACAUCGGAAUCUACUUUUUCGGGGGGGAUAACGUAGGGAAACUUACGCUAAUACCGCAUACGACCUACGGGUGAAAGCAGGGGAUCUUCGGACCUUUCGCGAUUGAAUGAGCCGAUGUCGGAUUAGCUAGUUGGCGGGGUAAAGGCCCACCAAGGCGACGAUCCGUAGCUGGUCUGAGAGGAUGAUCAGCCACACUGGAACUGAGACACGGUCCAGACUCCUACGGGAGGCAGCAGUGGGGAAUAUUGGACAAUGGGCGCAAGCCUGAUCCAGCCAUACCGCGUGGGUGAAGAAGGCCUUCGGGUCGUAAAGCCCUUUUGUUGGGAAAGAACAGCAGCAGGUUAAUACCCCGCUGUUCUGACGGUACCCAAAGAAUAAGCACCGGCUAACUUCGUG